This 253-nucleotide ribosomal RNA is filed under the name uncultured bacterium. RNAcentral describes it as "partial 16S ribosomal RNA". It matches the Rfam family "Bacterial small subunit ribosomal RNA", at positions 524 to 776 of the family's 1533-position model. The record is from RNAcentral.
UACGAAGGGGGCUAGCGUUGCUCGGAAUUAUUGGGCGUAAAGGGCGCGUAGGCGGACAGUUUAGUCAGAGGUGAAAGCCCAGGGCUCAACCUUGGAACUGCCUUUGAUACUGACUGUCUUGAGUUCGGGAGAGGUGAGUGGAAUGCCGAGUGUAGAGGUGAAAUUCGUAGAUAUUCGGCGGAACACCAGUGGCGAAGGCGACUCACUGGCCCGAUACUGACGCUGAGGCGCGAAAGCGUGGGGAGCAAACAGG